UUUUUAGAAAAUUUAUUUUUGCCCAUUUUUUCUAUAUUUUUCUAUAUUAUAUUUGAAAUAUUAUUUUUUACUGUACGGGUCAACUCAGUUAAGUUGAUUGUUUACUUCAAUAACAGUGUGAAGGGACUGAUUUCACUUGAACAUGAAGUGUAUGUACUGGAGCCGAUGGAAGAGGGAAACACACACCGUCUUUACAGAGGAGAACAUCUUAAACUCACCCAGGGAACCUGCGGACACGGUCACAACAUUUCAUACCCUACAGAGAUGAUGAACACUACUGGAGCCAGUGAACGGCACAUUUGGCUGCAGUUUAAAGACUUUUUUUUGUCCUUCGUUGCAUUUCAGUAUCAGAAACAGGGGAAAGACGUGGAGAAAGUGAAACAGAGGCUUGCUGAAAUAGCGAACUACGUGGACAAGUUUUACAGAUCGCUGAAUAUCCGUGUGGCUCUGGUGGGGCUGGAGGUGUGGAGUGACGGAGACAAAUGCUCCAUCACACAGGAUCCGUUCACAUCGCUCCACGAGUUCCUGGACUGGAGAAAAGUCAAGCUGCUCCCGCAGAGACCCCAUGAUAACGCUCAGCUCAUCAGUGGCGUUUACUUCCAGGGCACCACCAUCGGCAUGGCUCCCAUUAUGAGCAUGUGCACUGCGGAACAGUCAGGGGGCAUCGUCAUGGAUCACUCUGAUAACCCUCUCGGCGCUGCGGUUACUUUGGCCCAUGAGCUCGGACACAACUUCGGCAUGAACCACGACACACCGGAGCGCGGCUGCGGCUGCAGAGCCACCAUGGACCGCGGCGGGUGUAUCAUGACCCCCUCCACUGGGUAUCCUUUCCCUACAGUCUUCAGUACGUGCAGUAAGAAGGAUCUUGCGGCGAGUUUGGAGAAAGGUGUGGGCAUGUGUUUGUUCAACAUGCCAGAGGUGAAGGUGCUCUACGGAGGCCAGAAAUGUGGAAAUGGAUACGUCGAGGAGGGAGAGCAGUGUGAUUGCGGAGAUGUGGAGGAGUGUCUGAAUCCCUGCUGUAAUGCCAGUACAUGCACACUGAAGGACGAAGCCGUAUGUGCGCAUGGACAGUGUUGUGAAGACUGUCAGUUGAAGCCUGCAGGGACUCGGUGCCGUGAGUCCAGUAACUCCUGUGAUCUGCCGGAGUUUUGCACGGGUGCCGAUCCUCACUGUCCCGCUAAUGUCUACCUGCACGACGGACACACCUGUCAGGGUGUGGAUGGACACUGUUACAACGGCAUCUGCCAGACACACGAGCAGCAGUGCAUCACACUGUGGGGACAGGGUGCAAAACCAGCUCCAGGUAUCUGUUUCGAAAGAGUCAACUCGGCGGGAGAUCCGUAUGGAAACUGUGGAAAAGAUUCAAAGGAAUCAUUUGCCAAAUGUGAAGCGCGAGAUGCUAAAUGUGGGAAGAUCCAGUGUCAGGGCGGAGCCAAUCGGCCAGUGAUUGGCACCAAUGCCGUCUCCAUAGAAACCAAUAUCCCGCUCCAGGAAGGAGGCCGUAUCCUCUGCCGCGGGACUCAUGUGUACCUGGGAGACGACAUGCCGGAUCCGGGCCUCGUGCUCACCGGCACCAAGUGUGGAGAAAACAUGAUGUGUAUAAACAGACAGUGUCAGAACAUCAGUGUGCUCGGGGUUCACGACUGUUCGGCCAAGUGCAGCGGACACGGGGUUUGUAAUAAUAAUAAGAACUGUCACUGUGAGUCACUCUGGGCUCCUCCGUUCUGUGAUAAAGCUGGGUUUGGAGGCAGUAUGGACAGCGGCCCGAUGAGACCAACAGACAGCAGCAGUGUGACGGUGGGCAUCCUGGUGGCGUUUCUGUGUCUGCUGUGUGUUGGAAUAAUCCCCCAGUCUCCUCUCCAGACGGUGGACUCUGUGGUCCCGUCUCAUGGUCUCCGCCGGCUGCCCCCGUGCCCUCCGGUCCACCUCUCUCACCCGCUGCCGCUGGCACUUGGCCUUCCACUGACACCACCACACACACACUCGUCUCCACCCAGAGCCCCUCCACCAGCACUCACACACACAUACACAUCCGCUCCAGCAGUGGGAACGGCCGGCCGUGGCCUGGCCUGCCAGAAUGUCUGCAAGAUCGCCAUGGUGAGUGGAAAUAUGCCAGCGCUGUAG
Sinocyclocheilus grahami is the source of this 2124-nucleotide long non-coding RNA. Ensembl annotates it as disintegrin and metalloproteinase domain-containing protein 12-like. The record is from Ensembl. NCBI's taxonomy places the organism in Eukaryota, Metazoa, Chordata, Actinopteri, Cypriniformes, Cyprinidae.